CCCUUAGAUGUUCUGGGCGGCCCGCGCACUACAAUGGCGCGUGCAGCGAGUGCCGAAGUAGAGUUUUCCGAGGUAUUCUUGCAAUGCUCGUUUUGAUGGGGAUAGACCCUUGCAACUGUUGGUUUUGAACGAGGAAUUCCUUGUAAGCAUGGUUUAUCAUCCGACGCUGAAUGCGUCCCUGCCCUUUGUACACACCGCCCGUCGCUCCUACCGAUGAGUCGUCCGGUGAAGUUCGUAGACCUCGUGAUUGCGGAUCACUGGGGGAAGUAAAAUGAACCUCGCGGUUUAGAGGAAGGAGAAGUCGUAACA
This 309-nucleotide ribosomal RNA is filed under the name uncultured eukaryote. RNAcentral describes it as "partial 18S ribosomal RNA". It matches the Rfam family "Eukaryotic small subunit ribosomal RNA", at positions 1470 to 1796 of the family's 1831-position model. The record is from RNAcentral.